UACAGAGGGUGCAAGCGUUGUUCGGAAUUAUUGGGCGUAAAGGGUGCGUAGGCGGGUCUUUAAGUCAGGGGUGAAAUCCUGGAGCUCAACUCCAGAACUGCCUUUGAUACUGAGGAUCUUGAGUUCGGGAGAGGUGAGUGGAACUGCGAGUGUAGAGGUGAAAUUCGUAGAUAUUCGCAAGAACACCAGUGGCGAAGGCGGCUCACUGGCCCGAUACUGACGCUGAGGCACGAAAGCGUGGGGAGCAAACAGG
RNAcentral lists this ribosomal RNA (253 nucleotides) under uncultured bacterium. Its description in RNAcentral is "partial 16S ribosomal RNA". It matches the Rfam family "Bacterial small subunit ribosomal RNA", at positions 524 to 776 of the family's 1533-position model. The record is from RNAcentral.